Hordeum vulgare subsp. vulgare (domesticated barley) is the source of this 124-nucleotide non-coding RNA. Lineage: Eukaryota; Viridiplantae; Streptophyta; Magnoliopsida; Poales; Poaceae. The record is from Rfam.
AUCAUACUCCCUCCGUCCGGAAAUACUUAUCCUAAAAAUACAUAUAAUGGAUGUAUCUAUAAUUAAAAUAAGUCUAGAUGCAUUCAUCUCUAGGACAAGUAUUUGUAGACGGAGGUAGUAGUUG